UUUUCCUCUUUCCUUGUUCACGUCAGAGUUGGACAGAGAGAAAGGGAGCCUCGUUCAGCUCUUCCCCUCCACGUUUCCAUCAUGCAAAGGGCAACUCCUCCAAGAACAUCUCCUCAGACCUUCAAAAGAGAGAACCCAGGCCAUAAAUCGUCACUCACCCUUCUCUCCUCACCUUUCCUCUCGUCCCUGGACACAUCAGUCUGUUUACGAGCCCAAAAACACCUAGUUAGAGACCUCCGAUGAAAAAACUUUCUUCACCAAAGUUGUUCGUCUGUGUCUCCUCUAUUUAUCCUCAAAAUUUCAGCUCCGUCGGAGUCGAUUUGAGUCUUGUACACCGCUCGAAGCGGAAGCUGUUCUGAAACUAGCCUGUUCCGGAUUUCUGCUUGAAUUCCCUCUCUUGCUCUAUCCGAAUCCCUCACAUCUUACUUGAGACUGGUACAAACACUUGGUAAGAUUCUGGAACCAUCAAGUUCCCCUUUGUUUCCUCGAUUUUAGGCUCAAUACGUUCAAAACACCUCAUUCACACAUUGAGCAGUCUCUGUUUCACUUUGCAUGUUCGAGAUUGAGCGAACUUCUUGGCCUGUGGCUGGACUCGAUCCAAUCAGCUCUCUUUCCUGUUGAAAUCCUCAAGAGAAGCUCACUUUUUUUAUUAAUCUUUGGCUUGACAUCGUGGUGGAAUCUUGUGAAGUGGUGGUUGCUACAAAGUUGCAUUGAGGCCAAGUGCUGCAAGAGAAAGCUCGAGUUCCAGUUGAUGGGGAUGUAAGGAGAGGUCAGUUCCUCCUUGAGCCACCGGUGGUGGGCAGUGUGCACCAUGCCCUUGUUAUCUCCCCUUUGUCUCUAGCCUUGUGAUUAAUGAAUUUCGGAAAGUGAUUGGCUAGAUGGACGGUUGUGAUGGAAGUGUGAAAGAUGAUCAAUUGCCGUGGGAUUGUAAUUACGUGGUGACGAUCACGUGGAAGCGCAAACCGUUUGUUUUGCAGGCUGUUGUUGUCGAAGCUUGGGUACGGAGGAUAAUCCUUGGAGGCCAAAAUUUGUUUUGUUUAAAGUUUAUUUUAUUUGGCUUGUUUGAUUUUGUUAAAUUUUUGUAACGUUAUGUAUGGUUGAUGA
Molecule: long non-coding RNA, 1104 nt
Organism: Rosa rugosa (rugosa rose)
Lineage: Eukaryota; Viridiplantae; Streptophyta; Magnoliopsida; Rosales; Rosaceae
Exons: 4
Source: RefSeq, a predicted model, not a curated record